UACGUAGGGCGCAAGCGUUGUCCGGAAUUAUUGGGCGUAAAGAGCUCGUAGGCGGUCUGUCGCGUCUGCCGUGAAAACCCGAGGCUUAACCUCGUGGCUUGCGGUGGAUACGGGCAGACUAGAGGUAGGUAGGGGAGACUGGAAUUCCUGGUGUAGCGGUGAAAUGCGCAGAUAUCAGGAGGAACACCGGUGGCGAAGGCGGGUCUCUGGGCAACAACUGACGCUGAGGAGCGAAAGCGUGGGGAGCGAACAGG
RNAcentral lists this ribosomal RNA (254 nucleotides) under uncultured bacterium. RNAcentral's name for it is "partial 16S ribosomal RNA". It matches the Rfam family "Bacterial small subunit ribosomal RNA", at positions 524 to 776 of the family's 1533-position model. The record is from RNAcentral.